Molecule: ribosomal RNA, 515 nt
Filed under: uncultured bacterium
Lineage: Bacteria
Description: partial 16S ribosomal RNA
Rfam family: Bacterial small subunit ribosomal RNA
Source: RNAcentral
GAUGAACGCUGGCGGCGUGCCUAAUACAUGCAAGUCGAGCGAACCGAUUAAGAGCUUGCUCUUAAGAAGUUAGCGGCGGACGGGUGAGUAACACGUAGGUAACCUGCCUAUAAGACUGGGAUAACUACGGGAAACCGGGGCUAAUACCGGAUAACAUUUUGCACUGCAUGGUGCGAAAUUGAAAGGCGGCUUCGGCUGACACUUAUAGAUGGACCUGCGGCGCAUUAGCUAGUUGGUGAGGUAACGGCUCACCAAGGCGACGAUGCGUAGCCGACCGGAGAGGGUGAGCGGCCACACUGGGACUGAGACACGGCCCAGACUCCUACGGGAGGCAGCAGUAGGGAAUCUUCCGCAAUGGACGAAAGUCUGACGGAGCAACGCCGCGUGAGCGAUGAAGGCCUUCGGGUCGUAAAGCUCUGUUGUUAGGGAAGAACAAGUGCUAGUUGAAUAAGCUGGCACCUUGACGGUACCUAACCAGAAAGCCACGGCUAACUACGUGCCAGCAGCCGCCGUAA